Molecule: ribosomal RNA, 468 nt
Filed under: uncultured bacterium
Lineage: Bacteria
Description: partial 16S ribosomal RNA
Rfam family: Bacterial small subunit ribosomal RNA
Source: RNAcentral
GACGAACGCUGGCGGCGUGCUUAACACAUGCAAGUCGAACGGAAAGGCCCUGCUUUUGUGGGGUGCUCGAGUGGCGAACGGGUGAGUAACACGUGAGUAACCUGCCCUUGACUUUGGGAUAACUUCAGGAAACUGGGGCUAAUACCGGAUAGGAUCUCCUGCUGCAUGGUGGGGGUUGGAAAGUUUCGGCGGUUGGGGAUGGACUCGCGGCUUAUCAGCUUGUUGGUGGGGUAGUGGCUUACCAAGGCUUUGACGGGUAGCCGGCCUGAGAGGGUGACCGGCCACAUUGGGACUGAGAUACGGCCCAGACUGCUACGGGAGGCAGCAGUGGGGAAUAUUGCACAAUGGGCGGAAGCCUGAUGCAGCAACGCCGCGUGCGGGAUGACGGCCUUCGGGUUGUAAACCGCUUUCGCCUGUGACGAAGCGUGAGUGACGGUAAUGGGUAAAGAAGCACCGGCUAACUACGUG